GAAGAAGGGAGCGGGGUCGGAGCCGUCGGGGCCAAAGGAGACGGGGCCAGGAACAGGCAGUCUCGCCCCAACUGCGGACGCUCCCUCCACCCCCUGCGCAAAAAGACCCAACCGGAGUUGACGCGCUGCCCCUGGAGGCCCCACCUUACACUUGGCGGGGCCGGAGCCGGGCUCCCAGGACUGCUCCAGAAGCGAGGGAAGCUCGGGUCCCUCCGAGCUAGCCAUGGUGAGGCGCCGGAGGCCCCGGGGCCCCACCCCCCCGGCUUGACCACACUGCCCUGGGUGCCCUCCUCCAGAAGCCCGAGAUGCGGGGGGCCAGGAGACGACACUCCUGGCUCCCCGGAGAGGCGUGGGUCUGGGGCUGAGGGCCAGGGCCCGGAUGCCCAGGUUCCGGGACUAGGGCCUCGGCAGCCAGCGGGGGUGGGGACCACGGGCACCCAGAGAAGGUCCUCCACACAUCCCAACGCCGGCUCCCGGGCAUGGAGCCCUUGAAGAGCCUCUUCCUCAAGAGCCCUCUAGGGUCAUGGAAUGGCAGUGGCAGCGGGGGUGGUGGGGGCGGUGGAGGAGGCCGGCCUGAGGGGUCUCCAAAGGCAGCAGGUUAUGCCAACCCGGUGUGGACAGCCCUGUUCGACUACGAGCCCAGUGGGCAGGAUGAGUUGGCCCUGAGGAAGGGUGACCGUGUGGAGGUGCUGUCCCGGGACGCAGCCAUCUCAGGAGAUGAGGGCUGGUGGGCAGGCCAGGUGGGUGGCCAGGUGGGCAUCUUCCCGUCCAACUAUGUGUCUCGGGGUGGCGGCCCGCCCCCCUGCGAGGUGGCCAGCUUCCAGGAGCUACGGCUGGAGGAGGUGAUCGGCAUUGGAGGCUUCGGCAAGGUGUACCGGGGCAGCUGGCGAGGCGAGCUGGUGGCUGUGAAGGCAGCUCGCCAGGACCCCGAUGAGGACAUCAGUGUGACAGCUGAGAGCGUUCGCCAGGAGGCCCGGCUCUUCGCCAUGCUGGCACACCCCAACAUCAUUGCCCUCAAGGCUGUGUGCCUGGAGGAGCCCAACCUGUGCCUGGUGAUGGAGUAUGCAGCCGGUGGGCCCCUCAGCCGAGCUCUGGCCGGGCGGCGCGUGCCUCCCCAUGUGCUAGUCAACUGGGCCGUGCAGAUUGCCCGUGGGAUGCACUACCUGCACUGCGAGGCCCUGGUGCCCGUCAUCCACCGCGAUCUCAAGUCCAACAACAGUGAGUUUCUGGGGGCAUGGUUGGGGGUGGCAGGGGUCUGGUACACACCUGCUCCCAACCUUCCACUGAGCCUAGCUUAGGGUCUACUGCAGGUAGGAGCUCCCACCCUAAGGGGUCCCAGCUGACCAGGGGUGCCCAUGGGCUCAAGGUAGCCCCCAAACAGAGCCCCAGGCACCCAGCAGAGUCUUCCUGCCCCAGCUUCAGAAGUCCUUGACCCCAGCCUGCAGCUGCGGUUUGGACAAGUUAAGAAAUUGGUAUCUCUCAGGUGGGUCAUAAGCAUCCUGCCCAGCCGUGGCUCCCAAAGUCCUCUGGAAGCUCGUGCUCCUCAUCUUCUCCUCCCCUAAAUUCAUAUUCGUGGAGGUUGGUGCUCUGUCCUCCCCUCCCGUCGUCAUGGGCAGCUCCUCCAGAACAGAUAUCUCAGAGAGGGAAGCCCUCCUUGGCAGUCAAGGCCAAGGCCAGGGCUGGAAUUCUGGCCUAGCCCUCCCUGGCUUCAUGACCUCUAGCUGGUUACUCCAACUCGGAGCCUCAAUUUCAGAAUCUGUAAAAAGGGAAAAUGAAACAGCUCAACAGCCUGGGCAAGCCCGACCUGCAAUCCCCAACCCGCAGCGGGUCCUCAGCCGUGGAGACAGACAUUUGAGGGCUGGAUCGCCAAGAGGGCCUAGCCUGGAAUCAGUGCUUGGGGUGGGAGUGCUGGGCUAAGGGAGACUCCAUCUCCCAUCAUUUCAAGCCCCCCACACGCUGCCCAUCAUGGCCUAAGAGAAGCAAGUGACAGCUUCAGAGGGUUUCCUGGAGCACGCAGCAUUUAGAGAACGAAGGCAUGGAGGCAGGACCCAGCACACAACAGGGACCAGGAGCAGGGGCCUCCUAGAGCCCAGAGUGCAGGCUGGAAAGCAGCAGUAGGAAAUGCAGGAGGGGCCAGGCUCAGUGGGGUCACUGGGAAAGCAUGAGACAUUCUUAGAGGGGGGUCAACGUGGAUAUUUUGAGCCUCCUAGCCUGGGCUGACCAUGGACAAGGGGCUUGCAGGAAACAGAGUGCUGAGCCCCAGAUAUCCAAGUUCUUGCCAGGGCUGGAGGAGCCAGGGGAGGCCUGCCAACCACCCUACCCACUCUACUCAUCCCUGGUAGGGUGUGGUUCCCACCUCUCAGCCCCAACCCUGGGAUCUAACUAUCUAGGGACCCCCACUACCUGCCCCAAUCUGAGGGGGAUUCCCCGAAGGCGCAGGGGGAGGGGACUCCCAUCUUCUGUUUUUCCUCCGUUUUCUUUCCAGAAAAAAUGGAACAAUAGCCCAGGCCCCUGCUCCCCACCCUCCCCACUGCUUCCUGCGUUUCCUGCUGCCCCUGAGCUGGCUUCCUGUCCCUGCUCCAGCCCCUGCUCCCUCCCUAGCCCAGCUGCCUGCAGGGAGGAAAGAGCUGGGGGUGGAGGGUUUGCGGGAGGAAGGAGCCUGGAACUGCUCCCCCACUCCCCUCUAGUUCCCCUGCUUCCCUCUCAGAGUCUGGGAGGUGGUGGUAAAGGGCAGGCAAGGUGCUCUCAGCCUCCCUGAGCCUGGCAUUUAACCUUGGAGACCCCAGUCCUAGGCCCAUGUUGCCGUCUGCGGGACUGGGGUGGGGGGAGUCCCUGGGCUGGGGGGGCACAGGCAAGAAACAAUGGCAUGAUUUUCCUGGACAAUGGGGGCCUUGUGAGGAAGCCUGGCGGGGAGAGGAGGGGGAAUUCUCCAGGCCCACGAGUCACAGGACUGACCAGCCAGCCUAGCCUGGGCCUGACCUCCCCCAGUUCUCCCCAAAAGGACUCCCCCUCCCAAGUGGGAGACCUGGCCCAGCCCUCCCAGAAAGGAGAAGUAGGGACCACGGGAGGGAAGCGGAAGAGGCGUGAGCUGCCCAGGCCACUCCCGAGCCCCACAGAGGCCAGCCCAGGGAGACAGCUGGUGGCCAGGUCCCUGUCAGAGGCCAGGGAGCCCUAAAGGGGCACUGAGAGCUUCCCCCAGCUUCGGGGUCUCUGGCCCAUUCUCCUCUGGGUGACCCCUGACCUCCCAUGCCUGGGAUCUACAUCAGACACCAGAACAGCAGUUUGAGUUAGGACAGUUGAAAGCACAGAGAGGAGCUUGGAGAGGAAGCAGAGGAUGGGGCUUAGUAGCUGGCAGAGCCAGGAGCGGGGAGAUAGCAGAAAGGCCACAAGUACAAAGAAGUCCUGAAACUUUGGAUGAGUUGCUGCCCCUCUCUGGGCCUCAGAUUCCCCACCUGAAAAAGGUGGAGAGUGGCCACCCGGCCUGAGAUACUGGAACAGCACUUUGCCAGUCUGGGGUGCCACAAGUGGCUAGAAACCAGGCCAAGAAGCAGCAAGUGUUGCUUUUCAAAGGGGAAGGUGGGCCCUGGCACCAGGGGAGGUGCCCAUUUCCACUCCACCCACUGCCCCAGCCUGCUGUGUUUCCCCUUUGGAAUGAGCUUGUCGUGGGGGGCUUGCUAAAUGCUCAGGUCCCCAGCCUCCAGCAGCCAGACCGGAGGCUGUUGUGAAGUUGGCAGUAAGAAGUGACAGAGGAGAGAGAGGAGGGUGGAGAUACGAUAAGUGCUUUAGGAUAACUGGCCUUUAGGAUGCUUCUGCCAGGUGGCAGCCCCCGUGCAAAAACUUUAAAAAGUGUGGUCUUGUUUCAUGCUCGUGACAGCCAUCUGAGGAGGGUUUUGUUGUCAUCCUCAGCUUGAUAAAGUGUUCAGGACUUGGCUCCAAGGUCUGGCUCAGAGGAGUGGGUAGAUUUUGAGACCGUUCUCUGGAUUAGGAAAAAUUGCAGAAAAUCUACUGGGCAUGCCGGGAUAGUAAAGGUGGUCAUGGAGGGCACCUGGACAUCAGGUAGAGCUGCUGAGCCAAUUUGUCUGGCCUGGAAUUGCAAAUGUGGAAGAUGCCAGUGGGGAGAGGGAGCUGGUACCUGGAAGAGGCUGAGUCAGCCAGGGGCAGUGGGCAGAGAUUGAGGAGAGGUCAUGCUCUGAGAAGCACCAGCGCUGAAAUGGCUGAAGGUGGAGGACACAGAAACAGAGCCAAGCAGCCAGGGGCUGUGGGGGCUGAGGACGGUGGGGCAGCGGGGACAGCUGGCAGCAGUGCCAGAUGCCUCCUCAAGGCCCAGGUGGCCUGGCCAGCAGCAGGAUCAGGGCUUGUUGCUUCAAGCCCUGAAAAAUGAGCACCCUGGUUCUGCCACCUCCUCUGGGAAGUCUUCCCUGACUCACCAGGCUGUAUUAGGUGCCCUUCCCAUCUGCCCCACCCCCUGUGCCCUAUGCUGCCCCCAUGACAGCUGUGUCACACAGGGCAGGAGAGCUGAGAGGUGUGCCCUGACAUGGGUCCAGAAACAUGGUUGACUUGAUAUCGCUUCUCUUCCACAGUGCAGUUGGCUGUAACCAGAAAAGUAGAGGGGCCCUUCAGACCCUUCAUGACUCUAUGACUUUGUCCUCUUUCUAUUCCUCGAAAACUUCUCUCAUUUGAGCCAUUCCUGUCCUGGUGAGAGAUUUGCAAGUUGCUGCUUCUCCUCUUUGUACCAAGUAUGGUGGCCCCAUUUGGGUUAAAGCCAUGAGCCCCUGCCAAGUCUGACCAUCCACGCCUACAUUUACCCCAAGCUCCUCCUCUGUGGCCAAGAACCAUCACUUUCUUGGACCCCACCCUUUCUCUUCCCUUCCAGCUGCAUCGGUAGGUAUCUUUUGGAGUCUUUGCCUUGGGAGUGGCUGCAUUUGCCACAGUGUGAUGUGGGCACUAGGGGCCUGUGGUACCUGCUGGGCUUCUUUUCUCACCAAGAGCUUCCCUCUUGCUCCCCACUCCAAGGGGGGUUCUGAUUCACGCUCCUGCCUCAACAAAAUGACAGGAGAUUCACAGAUCUCUCUUGAAAUCAAAGCCAUAAAUGCCCAGAGCUGCCACCUUGCCAGUUUUGCUUCAGUGUAGUAUUAGGGAAAAGCUAGAACACUGGUUUCAGAGCCACACAGACCAGGUUGUAAUCUCCGCUGUAUUUGUUGUAUGACCUCUGCGAAGUCAUUUCCCUGCUUGGUUUCCUCAUCUAUGAAACGUGAAAAAUAUUAUUUAGCUCAUAAAUGGUUUUGAGUGCUGGGGUUGAAUGUGAAAUGUUUGGCCUUGGCCAGGUGCAGUGGCUAACACCUGUAAUCCCAGCACUUUGGGAGGCCAAGGCAGGCAGAUCACCUGAGGUUGGGAGUUCGAGACCAGCCUGACCAACAUGGAGAAACCCUGUCUCUACUAAAAAUACAAAAUUAGUCGGGCGCGGUGGCAGAUGCCCAUAAUCCCACUACUCGGGAGGCUGGGGCAGGACAAUCGCUUGAACCCAGGAGGUGGAGGUUGCAGUGAGCCAAGAUCACGCCAUUGCACUCUAGCCUGGGCAACAAGAGCAAAACUCUAUCUCAAA
Molecule: small RNA, 5602 nt
Filed under: Pongo abelii (Sumatran orangutan)
Lineage: Eukaryota; Metazoa; Chordata; Mammalia; Primates; Hominidae
Description: retained intron
Source: RNAcentral